UAUAACCUGUGGGCACAUUUUGAAAGAUCUCUGUAUCAUUUGCUGUCUCUGGGCUGGAUAAUCUGAAUAAAUCGUUUCAUCUCUGGGAACCUUGGUUGCAUCUUUUACCUGGCUGUGGUAAAUUGCGGACUCUACAUUUCUCAUACACUAUACGGAUAAUAUUGCGGAAUACACAACAAAUCCCUGUUUUGUUUAAAGGGUACCGUCACGUGACCGGAUUCAACCAAUCAGCAUCAAAAUCACCUCACCUGCCGGGCCUGCCUGCGCAAUCAACAAAAAUGCUUGGCAGG
Long non-coding RNA from Xenopus laevis (African clawed frog), 290 nucleotides. RefSeq lists it as uncharacterized. The record is from RefSeq and is a predicted model, not a curated record. The transcript is spliced from 2 exons. Lineage: Eukaryota; Metazoa; Chordata; Amphibia; Anura; Pipidae.